This 253-nucleotide ribosomal RNA is filed under the name uncultured bacterium. RNAcentral describes it as "partial 16S ribosomal RNA". It matches the Rfam family "Bacterial small subunit ribosomal RNA", at positions 524 to 776 of the family's 1533-position model. The record is from RNAcentral.
UACAGAGGGUGCGAGCGUUAAUCGGAAUUACUGGGCGUAAAGCGCGCGUAGGCGGCUUUGCAAGUCGGGUGCGAAAUCCCCAAGCUUAACUUGGGAACUGCAUUCGAGACUGCAUUGCUAGAGUAUGGGAGAGGGAAGUGGAAUUUCCGGUGUAGCGGUGAAAUGCGUAGAUAUCGUAAGGAAGACCAGUGGCGAAGGCGGGUCUCUGGACAGUUCCUGACGCUGAGGAGCGAAAGCGUGGGGAGCGAACAGG